UUUCCGUAGGUGAACCUGCGGAAGGAUCAUUCAUAAUAAGUGUCUUACUGCACUUUUUAAAAAUCAGUAUUCACCUUGUGUGCAAUGUUUGCUGACGAGUUCGCGUUUUUGCGCGUUCUUGGCAGUAUAAUACCAACCCUUUAUCGAAAUUUUUUGUCUGAAAUUUUUUGAAUACAUAAUUCGAAAUACAACUUUUAACAACGGAUCUCUUGGCUCUCGCGUCGAUGAAGAACGCAGC
This 238-nucleotide unclassified non-coding RNA is filed under the name plant metagenome. RNAcentral describes it as "partial contains small subunit ribosomal RNA, internal transcribed spacer 1, and 5.8S ribosomal RNA". The stretch from base 190 to 238 matches the Rfam family "5.8S ribosomal RNA", at positions 1 to 49 of the family's 154-position model. The record is from RNAcentral.